UACGUAGGGUGCGAGCGUUGCCCGGAUUUAUUGGGCGUAAAGAGCGUGUAGGCGGCCUGGUAGGUCUGCUGUGAAAACUCGAGGCUCAACCUCGAGAUGUCGGCGGAAACCAUCUGGCUAGAGUCCGGAAGAGGAGAGUGGAAUUCCUGGUGUAGCGGUGAAAUGCGCAGAUAUCAGGAAGAACACCUAUGGCGAAGGCAGCUCUCUGGGACGGUACUGACGCUGAGACGCGAAAGCGUGGGGAGCGAACAGG
RNAcentral lists this ribosomal RNA (253 nucleotides) under uncultured bacterium. RNAcentral's name for it is "partial 16S ribosomal RNA". It matches the Rfam family "Bacterial small subunit ribosomal RNA", at positions 524 to 776 of the family's 1533-position model. The record is from RNAcentral.